RNAcentral lists this ribosomal RNA (720 nucleotides) under uncultured bacterium. Its description in RNAcentral is "bacterial SSU rRNA". It matches the Rfam family "Bacterial small subunit ribosomal RNA", at positions 54 to 787 of the family's 1533-position model. The record is from RNAcentral.
CAUGCAAGUCGAACGAGCGAGAGAGAGCUUGCUUUCUCGAGCGAGUGGCGAACGGGUGAGUAACGCGUGAGGAACCUGCCUCAAAGAGGGGGACAACAGUUGGAAACGACUGCUAAUACCGCAUAAGCCCACGACCCGGCAUCGGGUAGAGGGAAAAGGAGCAAUCCGCUUUGAGAUGGCCUCGCGUCCGAUUAGCUAGUUGGUGAGGUAACGGCCCACCAAGGCGACGAUCGGUAGCCGGACUGAGAGGUUGAACGGCCACAUUGGGACUGAGACACGGCCCAGACUCCUACGGGAGGCAGCAGUGGGGAAUAUUGCACAAUGGGGGAAACCCUGAUGCAGCGACGCCGCGUGGAGGAAGAAGGUCUUCGGAUUGUAAACUCCUGUUGUUGAGGAAGAUAAUGACGGUACUCAACAAGGAAGUGACGGCUAACUACGUGCCAGCAGCCGCGGUAAAACGUAGGUCACAAGCGUUGUCCGGAAUUACUGGGUGUAAAGGGAGCGCAGGCGGGAAGACAAGUUGGAAGUGAAAUCCAUGGGCUCAACCCAUGAACUGCUUUCAAAACUGUUUUUCUUGAGUAGUGCAGAGGUAGGCGGAAUUCCCGGUGUAGCGGUGGAAUGCGUAGAUAUCGGGAGGAACACCAGUGGCGAAGGCGGCCUACUGGGCACCAACUGACGCUGAGGCUCGAAAGUGUGGGUAGCAAACAGGAUUAGAUACCC